Molecule: ribosomal RNA, 1365 nt
Filed under: Cylindrospermopsis raciborskii
Lineage: Bacteria; Bacillati; Cyanobacteriota; Cyanophyceae; Nostocales; Aphanizomenonaceae
Description: bacterial SSU rRNA
Rfam family: Bacterial small subunit ribosomal RNA
Source: RNAcentral
UGGCGCACGGGUGAGUAACGCGUGAGAAUCUGGCUCCAGGUCGGGGAUAACAGUUGGAAACGACUGCUAAUACCGGAUGUGCCGAGAGGUGAAAGAUUUAUUGCCUGGAGAUGAGCUCGCGUCUGAUUAGCUAGUUGGUGGUGUAAGGGACCACCAAGGCGUCGAUCAGUAGCUGGUCUGAGAGGAUGAUCAGCCACACUGGGACUGAGACACGGCCCAGACUCCUACGGGAGGCAGCAGUGGGGAAUUUUCCGCAAUGGGCGAAAGCCUGACGGAGCAAUACCGCGUGAGGGAGGAAGGCUCUUGGGUCGUAAACCUCUUUUCUCAAGGAAGAAGAAAGUGACGGUACUUGAGGAAUAAGCAUCGGCUAACUCCGUGCCAGCAGGCCGCGUAAUACGGAGGAUGCAAGCGUUAUCCGGAAUGAUUGGGCGUAAAGGGUCUGCAGGUGGAACUGAAAGUCUGCUGUUAAAGAGUUUGGCUUAACCAAAUAAAAGCGGUGGAAACUACAGAACUAGAGUGCGGUAGGGGCAAAAGGAAUUCCUGGUGUAGCGGUGAAAUGCGUAGAUAUCAGGAAGAACACCGGUGGCGAAAGCGUUUUGCUAGACCGUAACUGACACUGAGGGACGAAAGCUAGGGGAGCGAAUGGGAUUAGAUACCCCAGUAGUCCUAGCCGUAAACGAUGGAUACUAGGCGUGGCUUGUAUCGACCCGAGCCGUGCCGGAGCUAACGCGUUAAGUAUCCCGCCUGGGGAGUACGCACGCAAGUGUGAAACUCAAAGGAAUUGACGGGGGCCCGCACAAGCGGUGGAGUAUGUGGUUUAAUUCGAUGCAACGCGAAGAACCUUACCAAGACUUGACAUCCUGCGAAUCCUGGUGAAAGCUAGGAGUGCCUUAGGGAGCGCAGAGACAGGUGGUGCAUGGCUGUCGUCAGCUCGUGUCGUGAGAUGUUGGGUUAAGUCCCGCAACGAGCGCAACCCUCGUUUUUAGUUGCCAGCAUUAAGUUGGGCACUCUAGAGAGACUGCCGGUGACAAACCGGAGGAAGGUGAGGAUGACGUCAAGUCAGCAUGCCCCUUACGUCUUGGGCUACACACGUACUACAAUGCUACGGACAGAGGGCAGCAAGCCAGGGAUGGCAAGCGAAUCCAGAAACCGUAGCUCAGUUCAGAUCGAAGGCUGCAACUCGCCUUCGUGAAGGAGGAAUCGCUAGUAAUUGCAGGUCAGCAUACUGCAGUGAAUUCGUUCCCGGGCCUUGUACACACCGCCCGUCACACCAUGGAAGUUGGUCACGCCCGAAGUCAUUACCCCAACCGAAAGGAGGGGGAUGCCUAAGGUAGGACUGGUGACUGGGGUGAAGUCGUAACAAGG